This 480-nucleotide ribosomal RNA is filed under the name Clostridioides difficile. RNAcentral describes it as "bacterial LSU rRNA". It matches the Rfam family "Bacterial large subunit ribosomal RNA", at positions 1409 to 1898 of the family's 2925-position model. The record is from RNAcentral. Lineage: Bacteria; Bacillati; Bacillota; Clostridia; Peptostreptococcales; Peptostreptococcaceae.
GCGUAGGUGAUGGACAACAGGUUGAUAUUCCUGUACUACCGAUAACCGUUUGAGAGAAGGGAUGACACAGUAGGAUAAGCUAAGCACACUGUUGGUUAUGUGUGCCCAAGCAUUGAGGCAGUCAAAGUAGGCAAAUCCGCUUUGAUAAUGCUGGGAUGUGAUGGGGAGCGAAAUUUAGUAGCGAAGUAGCUGAUUUCACACUGUCAAGAAAAGUCUCUAUCGAGGUUAAAGGUACCCGUACCGCAAACCGACACAGGUGGGUGAGGAGAGUAUCCUAAGGCCAGCGAGAGAACUGUUGUUAAGGAACUCGGCAAAAUGACCCCGUAACUUAGGGAUAAGGGGUGCCACCAUCAGGUGGCCGCAGAGAAUAGGCCCAAGCGACUGUUUACCAAAAACAUAGGUUUCUGCUAAGUCGCAAGACGAUGUAUAGGAGCUGACGCCUGCCCGGUGCUGGAAGGUUAAGGGGAUCUGUUAGAGCAA